This 213-nucleotide unclassified non-coding RNA is filed under the name Hevea brasiliensis (rubber tree). The record is from RNAcentral. Lineage: Eukaryota; Viridiplantae; Streptophyta; Magnoliopsida; Malpighiales; Euphorbiaceae.
GAAGGAAAAAAACCUCUUCUAGCAGAAACUGUACAUGUGAGACUUAAUAAAGGCAUUGGUUCUGUAGACAAAAUCAAAUUUUCACAUUCUGCAAUCUAUAUGAAGAUGGGGAUGUUCAGGUUAGGUGCACGAUUUGUUGACACUUUCAAUAGCAUUCAAGUAAAAGAAGCAAGGACUGAAUCUUUCACUGUCAAGGAUGGGCGCCAGCAAUAU